Molecule: RNA transcript, 5733 nt
Organism: Cottoperca gobio
Lineage: Eukaryota; Metazoa; Chordata; Actinopteri; Perciformes; Bovichtidae
Gene: asap2a
Gene name: ArfGAP with SH3 domain, ankyrin repeat and PH domain 2a
Exons: 29
Source: RefSeq, a predicted model, not a curated record
UGCGCUCCCGUUGAAACGCCUGGUUGUUGUUUCCCCGGGCAAGAAGGAAGAAGUUGUUCACCCCGCGUUUGGGAACACCGAGAGAGAAUAACAGCUUCUACCAAAAAAAAACGUAACUUUAUUUUGUGACCGGAGGAAGACCCGUGAACCUGAAUGGAAAGAGAGUAGUGGGCUGAAAGCCAGCAGGGAUAUAACCUACCCAUCACCUUGUAGCAAAGCGCAGGUGUGUGAGCGGCACGGUGCAACUCCUCGAGCCAGCGUGCAACACCGCUGCACUGGAUUGUGUUGGGAGCAAACAAGGGAAUGACAUAAACAUACUCAGAGAUGGUUUACUUCCCGCGGGGACCUUCAGAGCCACUACUACUACUACUACAGCUGUGAACUUUUCUGUCCUAAAACCAUACAGACGAGAAGGGGGAUUACAACAAAAGUGCUUAUUUGUAUUAUUACCAGCAAAGGGAUUAAUCAUGCCGGACCAAAUCACAGUUUCAGAGUUUGUGGCAGAGACGAAUGAAGAUUAUAAAUCGCCGACUGCCUCUAACUUCACCACCAGGAUGUCCCACUGCAGGAAUACAGUGGCUGCCCUGGAGGAGGCUCUGGAUGUGGACCGCAGUGUUCUGUACAAGAUGAAGAAGUCUGUGAAGGCCAUCUACACGUCUGGUCUGGCCCAUGUAGAGAACGAGGAGCAGUACACUCAGGCCCUGGAGAAGUUUGGAGAAAACUGUGUGUACAGAGAUGAUCCUGAUCUGGGCUCAGCUUUCCUCAAGUUCUCCGUCUUCACCAAGGAGCUCACUGCGCUCUUCAAAAACCUGUUCCAAAACAUGAACAACAUCAUCACCUUUCCUCUGGACAGCCUGCUGAAAGGAGACCUGAAGGGAGUCAAAGGGGAUCUGAAAAAGCCAUUUGACAAAGCCUGGAAGGACUACGAAACAAAAGUCACCAAGAUAGAGAAGGAGAAGAAGGAGCACGCCAGGCAGCACGGGAUGAUCAGGACGGAAAUCAGCGGCGCGGAAAUCGCUGAGGAGAUGGAGAAGGAGAGGAGAUUCUUCCAGCUGCAGAUGUGUGAGUAUCUCCUCAAAGUCAAUGAGAUCAAAAUCAAGAAGGGAGUGGACCUGCUGCAGAACCUCAUCAAGUACUUCCACGCACAGUGCAAUUUCUUUCAGGAUGGUUUGAAAGCUGUGGACAACCUGAAGCCUUCCAUAGAAAAACUUGCCACAGAUCUGCACACGAUAAAGCAGGUGCAGGAUGAGGAGAGGAAACAGCUGACUCAGUUACGAGACGUCCUCAAGACGGCGCUGCAGGUGGAGCAGAAAGAGGAUUCACAGGUGCGGCAGAGCACCACCUACAGCCUGCACCAGCCACAGGGGAACAAGGAGCACGGCACAGAGCGCAGCGGCUACCUUUACAAGAAAAGUGACGGGUUGAGGAAAGUGUGGCAGAAGAGAAAGUGCACGGCGAAGAACGGAUACCUCACCAUCUCGCACGGCACAGCUAACCGGCCGCCAGCUAAACUCAACCUGCUCACCUGUCAGGUGAAACACAACCCUGAAGAGAAGAGAAGCUUCGACCUCAUAUCCCACGACAGAACUUAUCACUUUCAAGCCGAGGACGACCAGGACUGUCAGAUCUGGAUCUCGGUGCUACAGAACAGUAAGGAGGAGGCUUUGAAUCAGGCCUUCAAAGGGGACCAGCAUGUCGGCGAGAACAACAUCGUGCAGGAGCUGACCAAAGCAAUCCUGGGAGAGGUCAAGAGGAUGACGGGGAAUGACUUGUGCUGUGACUGCGGAGCGCCCAACCCGACGUGGCUGUCCACCAACCUGGGCAUCCUCACCUGCAUUGAAUGUUCGGGGAUCCACAGGGAGCUCGGAGUCCACUACUCCAGGAUCCAGUCCCUCACUCUGGACGUGCUCAGCACCUCAGAGCUCUUGCUGGCCAAGAAUGUGGGGAAUGCAGGCUUUAAUGAAAUCAUGGAGGCUUGUUUAAGUGCUGAAAAUGUGGUGAAACCCAACCCAGCCAGCGACAUGCAGGCGAGGAAAGACUUCAUCACAGCCAAAUACACAGAGAAACGCUUCGCUAGGAAGAAAUGUCCUGAUGCGACGUCGCGACUGCACACUUUGUGUGACGCAGUGAAGGCCCGGGACAUCUUCUCCCUCAUCCAGGUCUACGCCGAGGGAGUCGACCUCAUGGAGCCCAUACCUUUAGCCAACGGGCACGAACAAGGGGAGACGGCCCUUCAUCUCGCAGUCAGACUGGUGGAUAGAACGUCUCUUCACAUUGUCGACUUCCUCACUCAGAACAGUUUGAAUCUGGAUAAGCAGACGGCUAAAGGCAGCACAGCGCUGCACUACUGCUGCCUGACCGACAACAGCGAGUGUCUGAAACUGCUGCUGCGGGGGAAGGCCUCCAUAGAGAUCUCUAAUGAGGCCGGGGAGACGCCCCUGGAUAUCGCCCGGAGGCUCAAACACCUACAGUGUGAAGAGCUGUUGAACCAAGCACUGGCAGGGAAAUUCAACGCCCACGUCCAUGUUGAAUAUGAAUGGUGCCUGCAGCAUGAAGACUUGGAUGAAAGUGAUGAAGAUCUGGAUGAGAAGCCCAGCCCUCAUCGCAGAGACGAGCGUCCGGUCAGCUGUUACACCCCGAGCAGUAACUCCCACCUCCAGGCCAGUCUGGGCUCUGCGGGCCGCGACGCCAUCGGCCUCGCCAAGGACAAGCAGCGCGCCUACAUGCCCAACCUGGUCAACAACGAGACGUACGGCACCAUCCUCAACACCAACCCACCUCAGUCUGGCGGCACCUCCGCUCCGCCCCUGCCCCCGAGAAACCUGGUCCAGUUAUCCAGCCUGGGGGGCAUCAGUCAGCCUUCAGCGUCCAGCAGCUGGAAGCCCGGUUCUUUAGACCUGGCUGGCCGACAGAGGUCGUCCUCAGACCCCCCCAACAUGCACCCUCCGGUCCCCCCCCUGAGGCUCACUUCAACCGGAGGUCUGGGUCCUCCUGUGGCGAAGAUGGAGGCCAUGACCAUACAGUCCAAGUCGAGCCAGGGACCUCUGGGAUCGAGGGUGGUGCCACCUAAAUCUCCUGCAGGCAAUGAUAAAAGUUUCAACAGACCCCUCAAUCGAACAGUAUCUAUGGAAAGACCGGCUAAGGAAGUGCCAGGAUGCCCCCAGAACUCCAUAGGUCAGUCUCUGCCUGCAGCCUCCGCGCAGAGGAAGGCCUACCCAAAGCAGAGGCCGAAGCGAGUGAAAUCCAUCUACAACUGUGUAGCUGACAACCCGGACGAGCUGACCUUCUCUGAGGGCGAGGUGAUCGUGGUGGAUGGAGAGGAGGACCAGGAGUGGUGGAUUAAAGCACAAAGCGCUCCCAGUCCAACUCUGGUCCCAUACGUGUGGAUGUCAGUGCACUCGGUAACCAUGGUGGCUAAAGCAAAAAGCCAUGACCUCAUCCAGGCUCAUAUCCCUCCUCCUCCUCUUUUUCCGCCUGCUGCUGCUUCCUCUGUGGAGCCCCUUGUGUGAACAUCGACCAGCUGCAACUUGUUUUCCUCUGAGCCACCUCUGCAGAUACGACCGUAUUUAGGCUCUCUCCUAAAGUCCCCCGACGUCCCCGCCGUGCUUCCUCUCUGUCCUGUACUCCGCAGCGUUAUUACUCUUUCAUGUGACUUUUCAUUUCUGUGUAUGAAAAUGUUUCAUAAGAGAAGUUAAAUAUAUGACGGAAGGUUGUUUUGCUUAUAGCAACAACAUUUCUUAAUAUUCUGUAUUUAUUCUGUGUAAACAUUGUUGGAGCAGAAACGUGUACUAGCUUUUUAUUUUCAGGUAUAGAAGGCCUUUAAAUUGACUUAAAUGGACUUAAUAAGUACUGUCUCCUUUAUCAGCCAAGCUGGGCCACAUCGAAGGCGAUCCGAUCAGAAGAGGAGCCUUCCCGGUGACAUUCGUACACUUCAUCGCUGACUGAAAAGUUCCUCUUCGGGUCUCAGGAAGUGUUGCGGGACUCAUCGUCCCUCCUUCAUCCGUGUCUGCACAGCCAGUCAGCUAAAAACAUCCACCAUCAUCCCAGUGUUUGCUGUCAUCAUCUUCAUCAGCGAGCUUCUUAAUGUGUCACUGCGGUUUUGCCACUUCGGCGGCAACAGGCAGAAACUCUGGGUGUCACGCCUCGCGAGGCCUCAUGGGACUGUGUGUGAUUUUUAAUGCUUGCUGUUAAUGUUUCUGACAAAGAUUCUUUAAAAAAACAACAAAAAAAACCAACAAUGAUUGUAGUGAAUGACCUCUCGCAAUAAAUGCACUUUGCUUUGUCGUUGUUGCAACAUAAGACGACAUGUGACAUAAUGAAGGUUGAUAUGUACAGUAUUUCCAUUUUCUGUUCAGCUGCAUUGUACAGAUAGGACCGAGAAGACAACAGCGAUGUAUUUUAACUCUCCAACAACUCUAAAUGUGAUCAACAUACUUACAUUCCACCUCUGUGCAUGAGCGAUUCUUUUUUUUUUUUUUUUUUUAAAUGCCUUCCUGCUUAUAGGUGUGACCUUUCCAAUUCUGCAGUAGACCGCCAGUGUGGAGGUUUAUCUAAUGGUGCUAAAUCAACCCCCAAAUAUGCUCGAAGCUACACCCGAGGGAGCGCCUCCCUGUCCCCGUUUCAAAGACUGCCUGGCAUUGAAAGGAGGCAAGAAAUAAUGUAAAAAUAGCCUCUGACUCAUCACACCUGGGAGAAGCCUUUUUCUAACCAGUGUGUGAUGAAGUAGCUUUUCCACACACACACAUUGCCUGUACUGUGUAACCUUAGAGGAUAAUAUUGAACAGCAACACAACCAGUUCUUUCUCUUGUGCUGUUUGAGGUCAAAUACUGACACCGACUGGAGCUGCGGCAGCCAGUAAUUACCUUUAUGCCGAGUCUGACGCCUCAGCUGUCAUCGCCUGUCAUCUGCCUUAUUAGAGGAACAGGAAGUGUUUGUGUGUGCGUGUCUCGUCUGCACAGAAUAAGCUGAGAGUGAAAGAAUAUUGAAGUAAGAGGAAAUAAAAGGGAGUGUGGCAAUGUGAUGAAAAGCGGGGAGUUAGCUGUCUGACUUGUUGCUUCCGCUUGCCUUUGUUCACAAAUGACUUGCAUUUAGUCUCCAUCUUUGACACCAUACAGAGAAGGAAAUGUCCUUCCUACAGCUUAGGCCUCAUAUGUACAUCUCUGGGGUCCCAUAUUGUAGAAAGAUGAGUUUAUCAAUAGUGUUGUGAAAUAAAUAUGAAACAUUCAAUGUAAUUAACUUCAUUAAUGGUUGUAGAACAACUUUCUCUCUGUUCAUAAUGUUGAUAUUUUAGGCCUUUAACCUGAAACCAGAGCCUUCUGUGGAUUUGUGAAUGAUGAGACGAGAAGCAUGUGAAUCGUAGCCGACACGCUCUCUUCUUCAUGUUUAAUAUGAACUCACUGGAAACAGGAAGAUUUAAUAAUCUAUUCAUGUAAAUAGAUUUGAUUUUGUUGAUAUUUAUAUGUUUAAAAAAAACGAGUUAACCUGGACAGUAAAUGUCUUUUAAUGUGCUGUGGUGAUGAGCAGUUACAGAUACAACCUCAGCUGGACCUGUGUGUGUGGUGUGUGUGUGUGUGUGUGUGUGUGUGUGCUGAAAACACAGUUACACACUGAUUACUGGGAAAAUAAACUUCAUUCAUUCUCAUAAACUGUCUGUGGAUCACUGCAUCGACUCUUAACGCUAUUGUGCAAGUAAAUGGGAAAAUGAAACUGGAAUAAUAAAAUAUAAAAUAAUA